Passer domesticus (house sparrow) is the source of this 10078-nucleotide long non-coding RNA. RefSeq lists it as uncharacterized. The transcript has 4 exons. Lineage: Eukaryota; Metazoa; Chordata; Aves; Passeriformes; Passeridae. The record is from RefSeq and is a predicted model, not a curated record.
UUGUGCUUGAGAAUUAUCAGUCUUCAGGCAUGGGGGAAUUCACUCUUGCCGUUAGUAAAGUUUGGCAAUGUUUCAAAUUGUAAUCCAAACCCUAAUGGUUUUUGGACUCUUUACUUAACUCUUGUCCAAAUCUCAGUGUUUCCUUGGAUAAUAAAGUAGAGCAAACAUACAAUAGACAUGAGCUGUCUGAAGCAUGUGGCAUUUUUUUAAAUAACUCCAAGUUAUGCAAACCUUUGGAACAGAAAAAAGGAAGGAAAAUAACCAGAAAAUGUGCACGAAUUUACUAAUUUCAUUCCUUUUGAAUUAUAUAGUCAUUAGAUAUAUACCAAGAGCAUGUUUGUUCUCCUAGAAGAUAUUGCAGUGGCGUUGACAGAGCUCGUGAGCUGAUUUCAUUGGGAAGAUGGAUAGAGUUAAACUCUGCCUGAUACCCACCACAUUCCACAGCCUGUGUGAUGCAGUGGGGUCAUUCCAGAAGCAGGCCUCAGUGGAAUGUGAGAUAGUCACCAACUCUGAGUAACUGUUAGUGGGAUGCCUGUAGGUCCUGCAUCUGCUUGCUUGGAAGACUCUAUGGCAAUCAAUAUCUGUGGAGAUUUAUGGAGCAUAAAAAUAGAAUGAGGACUCUAAAGGUGCUGCAGGAAGUUGUGGCCUGAGGAGGAAAGCCUUGCAAUGGCACAAGGAACAGUGGGCAAGUUUUGUUGAUAAUAUUGCCUAUUGAAAUAUGUGCUAGAUGAAGCAUUUGUAUUACAAAAGUAUGAUGGAAUUCUUUUCAGUCUGCAAGUAAUUAAGGAUGAGGUUCAUGAUCAUCAUCAUAAGUCAUAUUCAUAAUUUUAAAACAGUAGGAUAAGAUAACAUAUACUAAAGAACUCUAAGAGAUCUGUCAUGAGGGGUCUCAUUUGUAAGAAAUCCUGGCAUGUCAUGAAAUUUCAGAAGAUUCACAGUAUCCUGCCAAUGUUUAAGGAAAGAACAUUAAAUAAACAGAGUAAUCAGGAUGACCCAGCUUAGCUGGUUAACGUGACACCAGGCCCAAAUAGCACAGUACAAAAGUUGAUUCUUAGCCAGGUUGUAAACAAGUCAAUAAUUGGCAUUAAUUUUAAUUUUUAUCAACACUCUCUUGUUGAUAAGUCCAGUUCAAUUCAUUGAUAAGAAUUUUAAAUCUGUUUCCUCAGAUUGGUGUAGGAAUUAUUUCCCAAAGCAUUUGACUACCAUUGUGACAUUUUAAUAAAGGCCUUAGUAAAGUCUAGUGUCACUAAAUAUGGAGGCAUUUCAGUGGUCUGGGCCAGUGUGGCUCCAAGGCAGAACAUGUGUUUUUGGGCUGCGAUGCAUAGAGGCACCUACCUAAUCAGGCAGCAUUAGCUGGGGAUGUCUGCAGCCACCAAUAACUUGAAUCUUUCUUUUCCCUGGUUACUUUCAUGGUGUAUUGCUGUGAUUGGUUUUUUAGCCAUUUGUAUUAUUUUUCAUUUUGCUUUACCUGAGUUAUCCUAGUCUUUGUGUAAAUGUAAAAUAUCCACUGAUAGCAUUUCUGAGUAUCACAAAGGUUGUUUAGGGUGUAAAUUACUGUGUGUAUAAAGCAACUAGACAGAGCAACAGUGGCUUAAGGAGAUUGACAUAUUCAUGUGAAGUUUUUGUAACACAAGCGAGUGCAAAGUAAGGAGCUGAGAGCUAAGAUUACUGUUCACACCUCUGGGACCAAGGAGCUCUAGAGUGGAAAACUGUCCCAUAGGGACAACUGAGAAGUUCUUGACUUUUUGUCCUAGAAGAGAGAUGACCUAGAAGACAUAUGGUAGCUCUGCAAAAUUAUUUGGGUUACAAAGAGUUAAAUGGUUUGCUUAGGGUGUGUCAUGAGUCAGUGGGAAAGUUGUGAAUAGGAGCAAAAUGAUCUUUCUUGGUCCUUUAUCUUGCUGUAGAACCCAAUGUUCUUCAAAAGCAUGCAAUAACCAGUCUUCUGGGUCAUCCUGAAACUAAGCAUGGAGGAGUUUGUUGAGAGUGGUUUCAAGAGUGAUUUAGUCAGAGCAAAGAGAAAAAAGUGGAAUGGGAGGAAAAAGAGCAGAGAAACAGGCAGAAACAAUUGUGCUAUACUUAACAAAAAGCACGAAGAAAAUGUCUGUCCAUGGUGAUACAGAAAAAGUUGGUGUUAAGGCAGUGAGAGGGGAUAAUUAAUUCUUGAAUUUUGAGCAUAGCAAAAUAAAAUGCAGGAAAAUUUCUGCUCUGAUUCAGGUUCAAUAAAAGACAGGAAAGAACAGAGUUAGUGAAAUAGGGGGAGAAAAGGACUGUUAGAGCUUCACAGAAGACUAAAUUCUUGUUCCUUCUUUCCUAACAGUAGAACUGACAAAUUGAGUUAGCACAAAAUACAGCUGUGGCAAAGUAUCAUUCUGAAAACAAUUCAGUGCUGGUAGGAAUUAGUCCAUUGUUAAGUGUACUGAGAAGCUGGUUGGAAGCAGAGCAUGACCUAAUGGGAUCAGCAUUACUUUUGCAGCUGUGUGAAACCAUUCCAAUAAAUAAACAGCUCAGUGAAGAAAGUGUGUUAGAUUUUUAAGAUUCUCCCAGUUACAGAGGAUAUGCCAAGUCAUUGUUUCAAUGUGGAACAGAUCCUUAAACACUGUAAGGCAACCAGAUCCUUUGGAAGCACCAACAUGAUGCUGAUUUUCACAAUUUGAUAAUGUGACCCCCAAAUUCAACCCUUCUCCUGACUUCUGUGGUGAUGGCAUUGCAAAAGGCUGUAGAGAAUGGCAAAGACCUGUCCACUCUGCAGUGAUGUCAGAGGAAGUAUGGAUGCAUAACUGAAAGCAGGAUUUCCUUAAUUUUUACCUGAAAAAUCCCUCUGGGACUGGUGCAGAUUUUUAGUUUGACUAUAGCAGUGAUGCUGGGAAACAGAAUUACUGAUGGGAGAGACCUGACUGGAGCUGUCCCUGACACUUUGCUUUCUCAGAGAUGAUUAUGUUUGGAAUACUUCAGUGGGAAUAAUUUCACUAUUGUAGGAGACUUUUCUACUGCUUUUGCUUAAGGUAAAAGCCCUGUGCAACAGACUGUGCAUGCUGUGUACUGACGAUAUUUGCAUCUAGGGAUUUAUGUAGCACACUAUAAAGCCCUGUUUUUAAGAUUCAAAAUGAAUACAUUUUCAGUGGUCAAUAGCCAGGCUCCCUGACCUAUUUCUGCCUGAGGAUUUCUUCUGUAUCUGAGCAGACCCAGGCACAGAGUAACUCGUGACAGGAGUGCUGUGUGCCUGUGCUAAUGAAGUGUUUGGGUUGAAGAUUUGGUGCAUUACUGGCAGGCAUGACCUUCCAGAGGUCUCUGGUUCUCACUGUUCCACCUUAAGUCAGCAGGGGCUGCCUGUGCCUCUUCUCCUUGAAAGUCAACCCCUAGAUGUUUCCUUCAGGCUUGUAGCUGUUCAGUUCAAGUCACAAGACUACACCUGUGCUAGCCUGUCUGGAGCUUUGUGAUGCAGAUGCAAAAACAUCAGAGAAAGAUUAAUAGAACCAGCCAUUGAUUUAUUAUGCUCUGGAAAGGAAGGGAUAAAGCAGGCUGGCAUGAUGCCCCAAGCCCAGCCUCCACCACGAUUUCUCUUGUGCUGACAUACAUUCACUAGUAUUUAUCUUGUCUGUUCACCUUCCUUUUGCUUUAGUUUCUUGAACUUCAGGAGUUUAUUUUGGCAGGCACGCUCCUCACUGCUGCUGCUGCUGCUGCUGGAGCUUUCCUCUGAGCUUUUGGAGGGGAGAUACUUGAUUGCAAUCGAGUCCUUCUUGUUCAUUUGCAAGCAGAGGCAGGAGGAUUCGCUCACCUUAAAUGACUUCCCCCACAUACUCUGGCACAUGUCAGUCCCAUUUGCAUACAUCUGUGUGUCAAAUAAGAAAUGCCUCAGUUACAUUUAAAUAGAAUUGAAUUAACAUCAGUUUGUAUCAUAUUGAUAAGCAUUUAUCACGUUUUAAAAAUUGGUACCAGGAUAUGAAAACAUUGUCUGGAGUCAUUUACUGUCUUGUGUGUGCUAUGCUUCAUCUCUUCUGAGAUGUCUGAAAAUGUUACCCAGUCCCACAACUGGCAAAAGCAAUUUGCCUGUUUUGAGAGCAAGUGGUUACACAAAAUGCAGGGACCAACAGCUGCCCUUUGUUUCCACCCUGGGGCUGACAGCCCAGCAGCUCUCUGGGGCUGACAGUUAAAGCUGUGUGUGAGAGCCUUUACAACUUGUAGCAUGUCAGGACACUCUGACAUGCCUUGAAAUCUGAGUAGUGCUGAAAGUGCCAGAUAGUGCUUUGAAUACAGGAAUCUUUUUAUUUACAGGCCAGGGACAGCCCAGUGGAGUUACAGCUCCGAGGGAUCUCAUUGUGCCUGCUGCAAUGCACUUCAUGGCCGGGCAGGACCUCACAGGCAAAGAGAAGAGACAUAAUUUGGCAACUGCUUGAAGAAAGAUCCCUUCAAAACCUCCUGCUGUUCACCCUGGUUGCUCUAUACCUGUUUCAUAUGCACCUUACAACCAGUCUCACAAGGACUACAAGAAAUGGUUGAUUUUACCACUGAUAGUGGCUCCUGAUGGGAUUUCACUGGGAAACCUGCUUUCUGCAAAGAGCAUUUGCAUCUAAACGUCCUGGUUGCAAGUAUCAUGUGACAAGUCAAGCUGAAUGCCAGGGGAGACACUCCAGAUGGACUCAGUCUGGCACUUGUGACUCUGGAGAAAAACAGCUGAGGUCAAAUCUUAAUGCUACUGAAUCUGAGGUGUGAUUUGUUUCAGUUCACUGAUAGGAUUUCUCCUAUUUUUUUCUUGGUGUAAGGAAUACAUCACAGAACAAAGUAAGGCUUAUUUGUUUUAUUUGAGUACACAAAUGUUGCUGAGCUAGUUCUCCAACAGGGCACAGGAAUGACAAAAGCACCAGUAAUUUUAUAUAAUGAAGAGUGUGAGUCAGUGGUGGGUAAAAAAGCAGAUAUUUUAAUGAAUGGUAGGUUUAAAAAGGAAUCACAAACCAACAAAAUUAGAAUUGUAAAAAUGUCAUUUUAAGCCCCACGUUAGGCUUUUCAAAAUUAAAGGGGACAAAAACCUACUUAUUUCAGCUUAUUACUGAGUUGAAAGCACCUCUUGAAAGCAUAACAGAAUGCUCUUCCUUUGCCCUAGUCUUUCAUUUGCCGUUCACAUUCUGCUAGUCUGUUACUGUGGGGCUCCUUGAACCACUAACAACUACUGUUAGUUUUUCUACAAAGAAGGGUUUGGGUAGCUCCUGACUGGUGUGAAGGGGACUUUCACAAGUGACAAAGAAAAUCUGUGCCCAAUUUGACCUAUACUCCAGAAAUAACCAGCUGCAAUCAUGCUUUGAAUUUAGACCAUUAAUAUUUAACUGAAUUUUCUACAUCACUUAUGUAGAAAUCACUUAUGAGUGAUGAAUUUCCUCUUAGGGGAAUAGCAAUACAUUUUAAAAAAAAAUUACACUUGUAUUAUGGGUAAUCAUUAUUUGAAUAGAGAUAAUGCCUAGAUGUCCCUGCCUAAAGUUGUGAUGUAGUGUUUUAAAGUACUUGGUGCCAUUACUGGAUUCUGGGUGGGCACAUCCCACAGUCCCCUCUGUGCCUUGGUCCUGGACUGCCCCUUUCCCUCCCCUGUCCUGGCACAACUCACAUGGGAUUGUGCACCCAACCAGAUGGGGAAAGUGAUAUAGCAGAAAGAAAUCUAGAGCUCCCCUUGCCUCCAGUGUUUCUGUGUGAAUGAGUUUCAGUUUAGAGCAGAGCUGAAGAAGAGUUUUGUUGCUGAAAAGGUUGGUAUCACACUGAGAGAGACACGUGAGGGUAGGACUGGCAGUACUUUCAGUCAGAACUGCCAGCCUCUGUGCCCCACUGUGUUGACAUUCUGUCCUGGUUUUCUUUAAAUUGUUAUGUUGAACACCUUGUAAUAAAAAUUAAGAGCUGACAGGUCUAUAGAGAAAACAAAUAAUGCAAGCACAAGGUAACAGUGAGAUCAUACUGGUCAACAUAUUAGAAGGCAGUGGCUGGAAACCACCAGAUGAGUCACUGCUGAGCUUUUCCUGUUGGCAUCACUGCAGGGAUGAAUGUUAAGGAGGACACGCUGUCUGUGAUGAAUGACUCCCAUACAUGCCAUAUUAGUCCUAGUUAGCUUGACUCAUUGUCCUGUGAUGAUUCUGUGGUUAGAAAAUUGACCACAACACUCAUGAAACAGGUGGGUUUUUGCCCAGUACCUUUGUUUACAUUGUCAUCUCUCUCUGCCCCCCUCAAAUGGCUCUGCUCUCUGUUGUAUAAACCAAGACUUGUUUUUGCUUCCAAAUCCUCCCUCAGUUAUCUAAGGCCCUCUUUGACUGUUCUCUUUCAACACAGACACCUUAAGUCUCUCCAAGUAUCCCAGUGCCAGCCUUCCCAGCAUACCUCUUGGAUUUCCAGGGCUGCUGUUUUGUAUUUUUCAUCUGUUUGGGAGGCGUUUCUGUAAGUAACAGUAGAACCACGUGUAAUCCUCCCUUGGCCCUUCUUAAAUCUCAUCUUUGUUUGGGUGCCAAAGAGAGGGUGACAACAGUUAGGAUCUGAAUCUACUCCUGCUGGCCUAUUUCUCCCCCUUCCUAAUGUGCUUCUCUUUUUGGACCUUUCAGAAAUACAGACAAAUAGAGGUAUUUUUGUGUGGAUGUAUUUGUCCUCUGUUCACACACAGGGGUAGCAGCCCUACUGUAGCAACUGCUGUACAGUCAAGCCCAAACUGACAGAGAACAGCACAUUCACUGGCCUCUUCCUCUGUUUAAAGCUCUAAUGUGUUUGAUGAGUUCUUGUAGCUAAGAAGUGCUGUUAACUUAGCUAUUGCACUAGGCUCUCCUGAUAUUUCACAACCAUAAUUUUGAACUUCUACUACAUAUUUUCAUAUUUUCAUAUUUUCAUAUUUUCAUAUUUUCAUAUUUUCAUAUUUUCACAUUUUUACAUUUUCACAUUUUCAUAUUUUUCAUAUUCUCAUAUUUUCAUAUUUUCAUAUUUUUAUCUUCUACCUCCUUAUUGGAUGCAAAUGUGACACCUAGAACAAGGUUAGAGCAGUGCAAAGCUGUCACUUUGACAUACCACAUCACUGCAAACAGGGAUACAUGUCCUUCAUGGUAUACGAAGAAGGAAAAUAACUAUUGGAAAGCAAAUCAUAUCCAGUUAUGACUGGAAUUUUGCUAUAUCUAGAUCUAGUAAUUGCCAUUCAUAUGUCUGCUGGUUUACUUCCUUAGUCUGUCCCUAGAACAGACUAAUAGAGUAGUUUCCAGUGAAGAUGCACUGGAAUAAUAUAUGGUAUAAUAUACUUUAAUGGAAAAAACCUGCUAGUAAGAAAGUUCUUCCUAAUCCUCCUAAGUCAAAGAUAAUUUGUGCCUUGAAAGAUAACUUUUUGCAACUCUUCUGUAAAAACUCCUUAUGUAACUAUGAGUAUUUUUAUUAAUUACACAGAUUAUUUUUAUUAAUUACACAAAUUGUUUUUAUUAAUUACACAAAUGUCUAAAAUGGACUUUCUCGACCCUGGGAUGAGUUCAGCUGGUCAGAGCAUGGUGGUGAUAACACCAAGGUUUUGGGUUAAAUCCCCAUGUGGGCCAUUCCCUUAAGACUGAACUUGAUGAUCCUUGUGGGUCCCUUCCAACUCAGAAUAUUCUGUGAUUCUCAAACAGCAGACCUUGCUAGGUCUAGAUGAUGAGAAAUUUUGCCUAGAUUGUGUCAAGGUACCAGACUUACUAAUUCUCCUGUGUUCUUUUGGAAAAUCCUUUGUUUCUCACCAUUUCCCUGGAGCUUGGGGGUGCUGAUGGGGAGCUGUACUCUGUGGCUACACUCCUGUGCUGUGCAGGCAGCAUGCAUUGCCAGCCUGGCAGGGCUGGGAUAGGGAACUUGAACUUUGCUGAACAAAAGGAUGCUUAUUUCUAUAAAGAGCAAUGGGUUAGUCUCAGUCAAAGCUUUGCCCAUCACAUCUUGCUGGCUCUGUGGGACUUUGUUACCUGUAUUUUUUAUUUUGCUUAUAACUUUUAUUCUCUAGUUGUAUCGUGCUGAUUUUUUUUUUUAAAUCUUGAAGAAAGAAUGCUGUCACAUGCAUGGAGUUGAGGAAACUGGCAGGAGUCAGGGUGAUGACAUGCAGCCUGUUAAUUACUUGUCAUUACUGACACUCAGUGCAGGUACAGCAGCACAUGCCGCAGUCCCGUGCCUUCCUCCUGCCUGACUGCACAUUGCCAAACAUUAGUAUUCCAGUGUAGAGCCCAGCACUUGUCUGUGAAUACCAUUAGAACUGGGUCACUAACAGAAGGUGCGUGACAGAUUCACAUGCAGAACAACCAAAGCCAUUUCCUCCGUCUCGUACAGAGCACAAACACUGAGAGGGAAGGCUGUGUGUACAGUGUGAGUGGAAUGACAAAUGACAGGAUGCAGUGAUAGACUUGUUUGAUGGCAUUAGUGAUGCAGUUCUGCCUUGGAAACAGUGGGAGCAGGUGAUCAGCUGGGCUAUGUGGGGCACUGGUUUUGCCAAAUGGUCAAAUUUAAUAGGGAUUCAAAUGAUUAAGUAUUUCAUUUUGAAGAGAAAAUUCUCUUGCUCAGCAGAAUGACUUCUAUUAUUUAGCAUUUUCUAUUCUGUUUGGAAUAAAGAGGUUUUAACCUCACAGCUUCAGUCUGCAUAUCUCUCUUCCAGCUCCAGGAAUUAUUGCUGUAGCUGUGUGCUAAGCAGUCAUAAAAAUGUUGCAGAGGAAUUUGUCAUUCCAGAAAACAUGGAGUGAGUUCGAGUAGACUGUGUUCUGCCCUACCAAAGUCCCUUUAAAACAGCUAGAGAAGAAUGGAAGGGAACUUUUCCUGACAGCAUCAUUCCAACUACCUUCUGAAUCAGAAGAGCACGCUGAGACCUUUUUUAUAUGGAAAAAACCAAGGUGGAAGCCAGGGAAAGGAAGUAUCUGGAACUGCAGAGAAACUGCAUUAGCUGAGUGUCAGCACAUGAGCUACACAGACUCUGUGGUGCCCUGCUCUGUGUUAGUCAGUGUAGAUAACCUAAGAAUCAUGCCCUUUAUAAGCCUUUAUUAAUUACUUUUCCUUCUUUUUUUUGAUGUAACAGAAGAUUUCUGGAGACAAACAUCAUGCGCAUAGAUGUAGCACCACACCACGCUCUGCCUCAUUCAUCUGUACUCCUUUUCCCUGCCAAGCCUCUCAUGAUUCGUUCACUUUUAUUUAAAGCUGGAAAAGAAAAAAAAAAGUUCAGAAAACCAGCUCAUAUGGAAAAGAAAAAUCAGGUCACUCAGACUGGUCUGCAGAUUCAGGUCAUAUCCAGUGACAUGUUUAAAUGGAAAAAAAUACGGGAGAAUCAGUAAAAUGAGGAGUAUUUUUCCUAUUCUGUUAAUAUGAAAUUUUACUGUUCUUUUGUUUCAAAAAUAUUGGAAAGACAUUUUGAGUCCAAAAUACUAAACAGGGAUUAAACAGAGAAGGAAAUGAGCCAGAAGCAAACGAAGCGCAAUCUCUUCACAAAUAAAAUGUCCUAUUAACUCCCAAAUGGCUUUUUGAUUUGGAGAAAUGAAAGAUAGUUUUAAUUUUUAAAUUAAAAUACAGAACCAGAAGGCAAUUACUUGCAAUUCUGUCUAAAGUGAACAACUGAAGAUUUGUUUCUAACAUGUUUAUUUGUUUAACAUGUUAGACAGGUAAUGUUAUACACAUCCUCAUUGUGACUUUUCUUCCUGUGUGCAUGAAUUCCUUUCUGGCACACAGAGCAAACAGGUGUGAGCCAGAGCAAGGUGUCCCACAGGCCAUAACCAACAAAUAACUAAUUGGCAUCUAUGCUGCAACAGGGCAAAGAUCCAGCCAAAUUAUGAUGAGGCACUGUGCCAUCCUAAUAGACUCACAUUAACAAGGACGCCAAGAUUCCAUAAAUUUGCAUUAUUUACAUUUAGUUAGAGCAGGAUUCCCAGCUGGGAAGUUCCACAUGGUUGUCCAUCCUGAUCAUAUACAAUUAUGAUGGAAAAAGACCUCUCUGACUAAUCCAGCAUCCUGAAAUAGUUUUCAGCAAGCUUUUAAACAUUAAUAAUUACUUAAGAAUGUUCCCACUCUUCUACCUCAAUAAAUCGCUGGGAAUGGUAUUUUUGUUGUCUUUGUACAAAAUGAAUUAAAAAUUUAUACAAUUAGA